RNAcentral lists this ribosomal RNA (468 nucleotides) under uncultured bacterium. RNAcentral describes it as "partial 16S ribosomal RNA". It matches the Rfam family "Bacterial small subunit ribosomal RNA", at positions 28 to 507 of the family's 1533-position model. The record is from RNAcentral.
GACGAACGCUGGCGGCGUGCUUAACACAUGCAAGUCGAACGGAAAGGCCCUUCUUUUGUGGGGUGCUCGAGUGGCGAACGGGUGAGUAACACGUGAGUAACCUGCCCUUGACUUUGGGAUAACUUCAGGAAACUGGGGCUAAUACCGGAUAGGAGCUCCUGCUGCAUGGUGGGGGUUGGAAAGUGUCGGCGGUUGGGGAUGGACUCGCGGCUUAUCAGCUUGUUGGUGGGGUAGUGGCUUCCCAAGGGUUUGACGGGUAGCCGGCCUGAGAGGGUGACCGGCCAAAUUGGGACUGAGAUCCGGCCCAGACUCCUACGGGAGGCAGCAGUGGGGAAUAUUGAACAAUGGGCGGAAGCCUGAUGCAGCAACGCCGCGUGCGGGAUGACGGCCUUCGGGUUGUAAACCGCUUUCGCCUGUGCCGAAGCGUGAGUGACGGUAAUGGGUAAAGAAGCACCGGCUAACUACGUG